ACUUAGGGGUAAUGCCUUAGUACGGCGAGUGAGCGGCAAAAGCUCAAAUUUGAAAUCUGGUACCUUCGGUGCCCGAGUUGUAAUUUGUAGAAGGUAACUUUGGGGCUGGUCCUUGUCUAUGUUCCUUGGAACAGGACGUCAUAGAGGGUGAGAAUCCCGUGUGGCGAGGAUCCCAGUUCUUUGUAAAGUGCUUUCGAAGAGUCGAGUUGUUUGGGAAUGCAGCUCUAAGUGGGUGGUAAAUUCCAUCUAAAGCUAAAUAUUGGCGAGAGACCGAUAGCGAACAAGUACAGUGAUGGAAAGAUGAAAAGAACUUUGAAAAGAGAGUGAAAAAGUACGUGAAAUUGUUGAAAGGGAAGGGCAUUUGAUCAGACAUGGUGUUUUGCGCCCUCUGCUCCUUGUGGGUGGGGGAAUCUCGCAGCUCACUGGGCCAGCAUCAGUUUUGGCGGCAGGAUAAAUCUGCAGGAAUGUAGCUUGCCUCGGUAAGUGUUAUAUCCUGUAGAAAUACUGCCAGCUGGGACUGAGGACUGCGACUUUACGUCAAGGAUGCUGGCAUAAUGGUUAUAUGCCGCCCGUCUAA
RNAcentral lists this ribosomal RNA (577 nucleotides) under Torulaspora delbrueckii. Its description in RNAcentral is "LSU rRNA". It matches the Rfam family "Eukaryotic large subunit ribosomal RNA", at positions 64 to 656 of the family's 3401-position model. Lineage: Eukaryota; Fungi; Ascomycota; Saccharomycetes; Saccharomycetales; Saccharomycetaceae. The record is from RNAcentral.